GUUCCAAGUUUUGAGUUUAUCUUAAACACUUGUUACAUGGCACCUGAUACUUUAUUACGAUUUCUAGUGGCGGACGGGUGAGUAACACGUUGGAACCUGCCCCAAAGUGAGGAAUAAGCCACCGAAAGGUGGUCUAAUACUUCAUAAUAUCCAUCUCGUAUGGAUUAAAGCUUUAUGCGCUUUGGGAGGGGCCUGCGUAACAUUAGCUUGUUGGUGAGGUAAAAGCUCACCAAGGCUUCGAUGUUUAACUGGUUUGAGAGGAUGACCAGUCACACUGGGACUGAGAUACGGCCCAGACUCCUACGGGAGGCAGCAGUAAGGAAUCUUCCACAAUGGGGCAACCCUGAUGGAGCAAUACCGCGUGCAGGAUGAAGCGUUUCGGCGUGUAAACUGCUUUUAUCACCGAAGAUUAUGACUGUAGGUGAAGAAUAAGGACCGGCUAACUACGUG
Molecule: ribosomal RNA, 450 nt
Filed under: uncultured bacterium
Lineage: Bacteria
Description: bacterial SSU rRNA
Rfam family: Bacterial small subunit ribosomal RNA
Source: RNAcentral